AUCUUCUGUGUUCAAACAUGGCAAAAUUGACGUGCGAGUUGUGGUCCACAGCAAGAAAAUAUAUGAGACAAAUCAGUUGUAGUUGUUAAAAAGAAGUUGGCAUGUAAUGACAGAUACAUGGCAUUUAAUGGAGAUUUGAAUAAGAAAUCUUACAUUCAAACCUUAAUGUUCUGCCUUACGCAAGAAAGUAUACAUAUAAAAUGGAAAUAAAAUGAAAAAGCUGAAUGCUACUUUGUUUAUUCACACCAAUCUCAAAGCAACCAUUGACAGCUUAAUUGGCAGUUGGAAAGCUAAGACCUCAAUAAUCAGCAAGGUAGUGGUUGGAAGAGUGCAAUGGAUAUAGUUUGAAAAACAAGAGACAACCCCUCUUUUUUUCUUUCUAUUAAAUUAGAACUUCUCCUGGAUGCUGCAUCUAAAUUUACAGGUUGCCAUCAUUUGCGUUUGCCCACUUUCCUCUCUCAGUCUUUGGGGGAUUAGUUGCCCCAGAGAAAGCCACUUAACUUUUUCAUAAUUUUGGAAAUAACAUCAUUUCCAAUGAAGCUUAGUGCUUAAGUAAGUGUACCUCAAUAUAUAUAGAUGUCUCAUCUUAAUUUCUCACACCAACUUUUCCUCUCUGUUCUAUACCAUGGCUUUCAUGGCGCAUGGCUCCCAUGUUCUCCAAAUGUUGUUUCUUUUUCCUGCAAUAGAUUCUCAAUCUAAGGCCUCCUUAGCUCAAUCAAUGCUGUCUGUCUGCAGCUGAGCUUUAACUUGCAUCCACCUCUUCUAAUCAUUUCACUCAUGCCUCCUUGCUUACCCUAUAUAAUUGCACUCUUUAUUUAUCUGUCACCUUAAUUGCUGCUUAAUUUAAGCAUGGAAAAGGAAAGGAACAUGAGAAAUAGGAUAGACCAUAAAGAAACCUUUCAUUGCUCCUUAGCAAUGAUGGGGAUAACAUGAUUAGAUUUAUGGCUGGAUUGUUUUAUCAAAGAGGAUCCUAAGAGACAGAUAAGUUUGCAAGUACUCAAUAUAAAUGCCCACUGAUGUAAAUUUCUAGGUAACUAUGCUCUUUACAAACUGAUGGCAUGGCUUCUAUUAAAAUUUUACACUCAGUUACAAAAAUGGAACUCUGUGAACAAAAUGAAUAGUUUGUUCCUUUUCAAAAAGAACAAAA
Non-coding RNA from Theobroma cacao (cacao), 1147 nucleotides. The record is from RefSeq and is a predicted model, not a curated record. NCBI's taxonomy places the organism in Eukaryota, Viridiplantae, Streptophyta, Magnoliopsida, Malvales, Malvaceae.